This 445-nucleotide ribosomal RNA is filed under the name uncultured bacterium. RNAcentral's name for it is "bacterial SSU rRNA". It matches the Rfam family "Bacterial small subunit ribosomal RNA", at positions 355 to 796 of the family's 1533-position model. The record is from RNAcentral.
CAACGAAUAUUCCGCAAUGGGCGCAAGCCUGACGGAGCGACGCCGCGUGAAGGAUGAAGUCCUUCGGGAUGUAAACUUCAAUAGUAUGUCAGGAAGUAACCCGGCCUAAUAUGCCGGGAAGUUGACCAGCAUACGAAAGAGACGACUAACUCCGUGCCAGCAGUCGCGGUAAGACGGAGGUCUCAAGCGUUGUUCGGAAUCACUGGGCUUAAAGCGCGUGUAGGCGGGACGGUAAGUACCGUGUGAAAUCCCCGGGCUCAACCCGGGAAUGGCUCGGUAUACUGUCGUCCUUGAGGCAGGUAGGGGUCACUGGAACCUUAGGUGGAGCGGUGAAAUGCGUAGAUAUCUAAGGGAACGCCUGUGGCGAAAGCGGGUGACUGGGCCUGUCCUGACGCUGAGACGCGAAAGCGUAGGGAGCGAACGGGAUUAGAUACCCCUGUAGUCC